AGAGUUUGAUCCUGGCUCAGGAUGAACGCUGGCGGCGUGCCUAAUACAUGCAAGUCGAGCGAAUGGAUUGAGAGCUUGCUCUCAAGAAGUUAGCGGCGGACGGGUGAGUAACACGUGGGUAACCUGCCCAUAAGACUGGGAUAACUCCGGGAAACCGGGGCUAAUACCGGAUAACAUUUUGAACCGCAUGGUUCGAAAUUGAAAGGCGGCUUCGGCUGUCACUUAUGGAUGGACCCGCGUCGCAUUAGCUAGUUGGUGAGGUAACGGCUCACCAAGGCAACGAUGCGUAGCCGACCUGAGAGGGUGAUCGGCCACACUGGGACUGAGACACGGCCCAGACUCCUACGGGAGGCAGCAGUAGGGAAUCUUCCGCAAUGGACGAAAGUCUGACGGAGCAACGCCGCGUGAGUGAUGAAGGCUUUCGGGUCGUAAAACUCUGUUGUUAGGGAAGAACAAGUGCUAGUUGAAUAAGCUGGCACCUUGACGGUACCUAACCAGAAAGCCACGGCUAACUACGUGCCAGCAGCCGCGGUAAU
RNAcentral lists this ribosomal RNA (536 nucleotides) under Bacillus cereus. RNAcentral's name for it is "bacterial SSU rRNA". It matches the Rfam family "Bacterial small subunit ribosomal RNA", at positions 8 to 524 of the family's 1533-position model. RNAcentral also lists the same sequence under 1 other name. Lineage: Bacteria; Bacillati; Bacillota; Bacilli; Caryophanales; Bacillaceae. The record is from RNAcentral.